UGUUGGUGGGGAUCCACAGUUGUCCCUUGGCUCUUAGUGGAGCUCUGUUGUUGUCCUUUGGCUCUUGGUGGGGAUCUGGUGGUGGGGAUCUCGGGAGGAUCCACGGAUGUCCUUUGGCUCAUGCUGGGAUCCAUUGAUGUCCCUUGGCUCUCAGUGUGGAUCCAUCGAUGUCCCUUGGUUCUCAGUGUGGAUCCCUGGUUGUCCCUUGGCUCUCAGUGUGGAUCCAUCGAUGUCCCUUGGCUCUCAGUGUGGAUCCAUUGAUGUCCCUUGGCUCUCAGUGUGGAUCCCUGGUUGUCCCUUGGCUCUCAUUGGGGAUCUAUGGAUCUCCUUGGCUCCUCACGGUGCAGAUCCCCAGUUCUCCUUGGUUCUUGGUGCCCAUCCAUGCUGAUCCCUUGGUUCUCUGUGGGAUCCAUCCUUUGGUUCUUGAAGGGGAUCCAUGGUCAGAUCUCAGGUGGGAUCCGCAGUUGUCCCUUGAUUCGUGGUGAGGAUCCAGCAGUGGGGAUCUUGGUGGGGAUCCCUGGUUGUCCCUUGGCUCUCAGUGUGGAUCCAUUGAUGUCCCUUGGCUCUCAGAGUGGAUCCCUGGUUGUCCCUUGUCUCUCAGAGUGGAUCCCUGAUUGUCCCUUGGCUCUCAGUGGGGAUCCAUGGAUCUCCUUGGCUCCUCACGGUGCAGAUCCCCAGUUCUCCCCGGUUCUUGGUGCCCAUCCACGCUGAUCCCUUGGUUCUCAGUGGGGAUCCAUCCUUUGGUUUUUGAUGGGGAUCCGUGUGGGGAUGUUGGUGGGGAUCCACAGUUGUCCCUUUGCUCUUAGUGGAGCUCUGUUGUUGUCCUUUGGCUCUUGGUGGGGAUCUGGUGGUGGGGAUCUCGGGAGGAUCCACGGAUGUCCUUUGGCUCAUGCUGGGAUCCAUUGAUGUCCCUUGGCUCUCAGUGUGGAUCCAUCGAUGUCCCUUGGUUCUCAGUGUGGAUCCCUGGCUGUCCCUUGGCUCUCAGUGUGGAUCCAUCGAUGUCCCUUGGCUCUCAGUGUGGAUCCAUUGAUGUCCCUUGGCUCUCAGUGUGGAUCCCUGGUUGUCCCUUGGCUCUCAGUGGGGAUCCAUGGAUCUCCUUGGCUCCUCACGGUGCAGAUCCCCAGUUCUCCUUGGUUCUUGGUGCCCAUCCACGCUGAUCCCUUGGUUCUCAGUGGGGAUCCAUCCUUUGGUUUUUGAUGGGGAUCCGUGGUCGUCCCAUGGAUCUCAGUGGGGAUCCACAGUUGUCCCUUGGCUUUCAGUGGAGCUCGGCUUUUGUCCCUUGGCUCCUGGUGGGGAUCUGGUGGUGGGGAUCUUGGUGAGGAUCCAUGGAUGUCCUUUGGCUCAUGGCUUGGAUCCCUGGUUGU
This is a long non-coding RNA of Tympanuchus pallidicinctus (lesser prairie-chicken), 1364 nucleotides long. RefSeq lists it as uncharacterized. Lineage: Eukaryota; Metazoa; Chordata; Aves; Galliformes; Phasianidae. The transcript has 3 exons. The record is from RefSeq and is a predicted model, not a curated record.